ACGCUCGACACCUACGGGAAGCAGCAGUAGGGAAUCUUCCACAAUGGACGCAAGUCUGAUGGAGCAACGCCGCGUGAGUGAAGAAGGUUUUCGGAUCGUAAAGCUCUGUUGUUGGUGAAGAAGGAUAGAGGUAGUAACUGGCCUUUAUUUGACGGUAAUCAACCAGAAAGUCACGGCUAACUACGUGCUAGCAGCCGCGGUAAUCUGAGCGGGCUGGCAAGGC
This 223-nucleotide ribosomal RNA is filed under the name uncultured bacterium. RNAcentral's name for it is "partial 16S ribosomal RNA". It matches the Rfam family "Bacterial small subunit ribosomal RNA", at positions 326 to 539 of the family's 1533-position model. The record is from RNAcentral.